This is a long non-coding RNA of Rhipicephalus microplus (southern cattle tick), 1099 nucleotides long. The record is from RefSeq and is a predicted model, not a curated record. NCBI's taxonomy places the organism in Eukaryota, Metazoa, Arthropoda, Arachnida, Ixodida, Ixodidae.
CACGAUCACGUGGUCAUGACAGAUAACGAAUGCCGGCGUUGUUAUCGAAGAAUGCUAGUUUCCGCUUGAUUUGACAAGCAUGCCACGCGUGCCCCUUUGAUUUCGUCGUUUCAAUGGUUCUUGGCUUGAGGCAAGGCAGGCAAGUUCAACACAGUUGCAACGGCGAGAAGCAACAGCAAGACGCUGCCUGCAGUCCCGGCAUUCUCUGAAAUUUUUAUUCUGGGGGCACGUUAGAGGGCAACAAGAAACGACUCCUCUCACAUACCGACGCAUGCACGAAGACAUGUGAAGAAUGAGUUCCUGCAGCAAGGCACAAUUAUACCUUAUGCGACGCCAACUGGGGAAUUUGAGGGAAUGCCACCCCCGGAAAGAUUUUCUCCGGAUCUGUUGGAUUGGCCAAGACGACGCGGAGGCCUUUAGGACGAGAGAAUGCGAACCUCUUCAUAACCCCUGCAGCUACAUUGAAUGGCUGCUGAACGUCGGCGGCGUGAACUGAGCUCAGCGAGCCGCGAGUGUCCACUCCGGACAACUGUAGUGAACUCCAAGAGGACAGCGGUUGCACUUGCUCACCGCCUUCCAUCGACACCUCAUGUACUGGCGCAUGACACGUCCAGCAGUGCACAAACUUCACUGCUCUCAUCGGUGCAGUUGGAAGCACACAGUGGUGCUUACGCAAAGCCCAACGCCUUGGAGGUCUGGUCGCACGCCUUCACCCGUUGAUGCACCACGUGGGUGUGGUGGUUGUCUCAGGAUAGGCAGCGAAAACGCACGCAGGACGUCUAGGCCUUGGAAUCCGUCUCCGAUGCUUUGGUACUACAUCUGGGAACAGCAGCAUAGCUACCGCGCUGCGUCACACCGGUCGCCACGUCGUGUGCAGCAAUGGCUGCAAGACCGCGCGAACCUUGGCGAUUUAGCAAGCAUCAUCGCGGGUGUCAAACUGCUGUUACGAGAGCCCUUUCAGUGAACUGUAGCGCACUUUUCUGUCGGCUCACCCACACUGUGAACUCGCUGAUCACUAUCAUUCUUUUAAAUUCAGUCAUCUGGUCAUUUCCUGGGGAUGUCUCCUUCACAAUAAACCACUCAUAGAGCAAGACUUGCA